UACGGAGGGUGCAAACGUUGCUCGGAAUCACUGGGCGUAAAGCGAGCGUAGGCGGCGAUGCAAGUCGGGUGUGAAAGCCCUCGGCUCAACCGAGGAAGUGCAUUCGAAACUGCAUUGCUAGAGUACUGGAGAGGGUAACGGAAUUCCCGGUGUAGAGGUGAAAUUCGUAGAUAUCGGGAGGAACACCAGAGGCGAAGGCGGUUACCUGGACAGAUACUGACGCUGAGGCUCGAAAGCGUGGGGAGCAAACAGG
This 253-nucleotide ribosomal RNA is filed under the name uncultured bacterium. RNAcentral's name for it is "partial 16S ribosomal RNA". It matches the Rfam family "Bacterial small subunit ribosomal RNA", at positions 524 to 776 of the family's 1533-position model. The record is from RNAcentral.